This 640-nucleotide ribosomal RNA is filed under the name Bacillus sp. (in: firmicutes). RNAcentral's name for it is "bacterial SSU rRNA". It matches the Rfam family "Bacterial small subunit ribosomal RNA", at positions 69 to 693 of the family's 1533-position model. Lineage: Bacteria; Bacillati; Bacillota; Bacilli; Caryophanales; Bacillaceae. The record is from RNAcentral.
ACAGAUGGGAGCUUGCUCCCUGAAGUCAGCGGCGGACGGGUGAGUAACACGUGGGCAACCUGCCUGUAAGACUGGGAUAACUCCGGGAAACCGGGGCUAAUACCGGAUAAUUCUUUCCCUCACAUGAGGGAAAGCUGAAAGAUGGUUUCGGCUAUCACUUACAGAUGGGCCCGCGGCGCAUUAGCUAGUUGGUGAGGUAACGGCUCACCAAGGCAACGAUGCGUAGCCGACCUGAGAGGGUGAUCGGCCACACUGGGACUGAGACACGGCCCAGACUCCUACGGGAGGCAGCAGUAGGGAAUCUUCCGCAAUGGACGAAAGUCUGACGGAGCAACGCCGCGUGAGUGAUGAAGGUUUUCGGAUCGUAAAACUCUGUUGUUAGGGAAGAACAAGUACCGGAGUAACUGCCGGUACCUUGACGGUACCUAACCAGAAAGCCACGGCUAACUACGUGCCAGCAGCCGCGGUAAUACGUAGGUGGCAAGCGUUGUCCGGAAUUAUUGGGCGUAAAGCGCGCGCAGGCGGUUCCUUAAGUCUGAUGUGAAAGCCCCCGGCUCAACCGGGGAGGGUCAUUGGAAACUGGGGAACUUGAGUGCAGAAGAGAAGAGUGGAAUUCCACGUGUAGCGGUGAAAUGCGUAG